RNAcentral lists this ribosomal RNA (492 nucleotides) under uncultured bacterium. Its description in RNAcentral is "partial 16S ribosomal RNA". It matches the Rfam family "Bacterial small subunit ribosomal RNA", at positions 29 to 507 of the family's 1533-position model. The record is from RNAcentral.
AGUGAACGCUGGCGGUAGGCCUAACACAUGCAAGUCGAACGGCAGCACAGUAAGAGCUUGCUCUUACGGGUGGCGAGUGGCGGACGGGUGAGGAAUACAUCGUAAUCUACUUUUUCGUGGGGGAUAACGUAGGGAAACUUACGCUAAUACCGCAUACGACCUACGGUUGAAAGCAUGGGAUCUUCGGACCUUGCGCGGAUGAAUGAGCCGAUGUCGGAUUAGCUAGUGGGCGGGGUAAAGGCCCACCAAGGCGACGAUCCGUAGCUGGUCUGAGAGGAUGAUAAGCCACCCUGGAACUGAGACACGGUCCAGACUACUACGGGAGGCAGCAGUGGGGAAUAUUGGACAAUGGGGGCAAGCCUGAUCCAGCCAUACCGCGUGGGUGAAGAAGGCCUCCGGGUUGUAAAGCCCUUUUGUUGGGAGAGAAAAGCAGCAGGUUAAUACCCCGCUGUUCUGACGGUACCCAAAGAAUAAGCACCGGCUAACUUCGUG